CCUACGGGCGGCAGCAGUGGGGAAUUUUGGACAAUGGGCGCAAGCCUGAUCCAGCAAUGCCGCGUGAGUGAAGAAGGCCUUCGGGUUGUAAAGCUCUUUUGUCAGGGAAGAAACGGUGUGGGCUAAUAUCCUGCACUAAUGACGGUACCUGAAGAAUAAGCACCGGCUAACUACGUGCCAGCAGCCGCGGUAAUACGUAGGGUGCAAGCGUUAAUCGGAAUUACUGGGCGUAAAGCGUGCGCAGGCGGUUUUGUAAGUCUGUCGUGAAAUCCCCGGGCUCAACCUGGGAAUUGCGAUGGAGACUGCAAGGCUAGAAUCUGGCAGAGGGGGGUAGAAUUCCACGUGUAGCAGUGAAAUGCGUAGAGAUGUGGAGGAACACCGAUGGCGAAGGCAGCCCCCUGGGUCAAGAUUGACGCUCAUGCACGAAAGCGUGGGGAGCAAACAGGAUUAGAUACCCUGGUAGUCCACGCCCUAAAACGAUGUCUACUAGUUGUCGGGUUUUAAUUAACUUGGUAACNCAGCUAACGCGUGAAGUAGACCCGCCGUGGGGAGUACGGUCGCAAGAUUAAAACCNCGAAAGAGUAGUACGGCGUCGAGAGAGACGACGACGACGACGACGGAGGGAGGAGG
This 630-nucleotide ribosomal RNA is filed under the name uncultured bacterium. RNAcentral's name for it is "bacterial SSU rRNA". It matches the Rfam family "Bacterial small subunit ribosomal RNA", at positions 338 to 1252 of the family's 1533-position model. The record is from RNAcentral.